RNAcentral lists this ribosomal RNA (492 nucleotides) under uncultured bacterium. Its description in RNAcentral is "partial 16S ribosomal RNA". It matches the Rfam family "Bacterial small subunit ribosomal RNA", at positions 29 to 507 of the family's 1533-position model. The record is from RNAcentral.
AGUGAACGCUGGCGGUAGGCCUAACACAUGCAAGUCGAACGGCAGCACAGUAAGAGCUUGCUCUUACGGGUGGCGAGUGGCGGACGGGUGAGGAAUACAUCGGAAUCUACUUUUUCGUGGGGGAUAACGUAGGGAAACUUACGCUAAUACCGCAUACGACCUACGGGUGAAAGCAGGGGAUCUUCGGACCUUGCGCGAUUGAAUGAGCCGAUGUCGGAUUAGCUAGUUGGCGGGGUAAAGGCCCACCAAGGCGACGAUCCGUAGCUGGUCUGAGAGGAUGAUCGGCCACACUGGAGCUGAGACACGGUCCAGACGCCUACGGGAGGCAGCAGUGGGGAAUAUUGGACAAUGGGCGCAAGCCUGAUCCAGCCAUACCGCGUGGGUGAAGAAGGCCUUCGGGUUGUAAAGCCCUUUUGUUGGGAAAGAAAAGCAGCAGGUUAAUACCCCGCUGUUCUGACGGUACCCAAAGAAUAAGCACCGGCUAACUUCGUG